CCUACGGGUGGCAGCAGUGGGGAAUAUUGGACAAUGGGGGCAACCCUGAUCCAGCCACGCCGCGUGUGUGAAGAAGGCCCUCGGGUUGUAAAGCACUUUCAGUGAGGAAGAACGCCUGGUGGUUAAUACCCAUCAGGAAAGACAUCACUCACAGAAGAAGCACCGGCUAACUCCGUGCCAGCAGCCGCGGUAAUACGGAGGGUGCGAGCGUUAAUCGGAAUUACUGGGCGUAAAGCGCGCGUAGGUGGCUUGAUAAGCCGGUUGUGAAAGCCCCGGGCUCAACCUGGGAACGGCAUCCGGAACUGUCAAGCUAGAGUGCAGGAGAGGAAGGUAGAAUUCCCGGUGUAGCGGUGAAAUGCGUAGAGAUCGGGAGGAAUACCAGUGGCGAAGGCGGCCUUCUGGACUGACACUGACACUGAGGUGCGAAAGCGUGGGUAGCAAACAGGAUUAGAUACCCGUGUAGUC
RNAcentral lists this ribosomal RNA (465 nucleotides) under Vreelandella stevensii. RNAcentral describes it as "partial 16S ribosomal RNA". It matches the Rfam family "Bacterial small subunit ribosomal RNA", at positions 338 to 795 of the family's 1533-position model. The record is from RNAcentral. Lineage: Bacteria; Pseudomonadati; Pseudomonadota; Gammaproteobacteria; Oceanospirillales; Halomonadaceae.